GACGAAGGGGGCUAGCGUUGUUCGGAAUUACUGGGCGUAAAGCGCGUGUAGGCGGUUGCCCAAGUCGGGUGUGAAAGCCUUGAGCUCAACUCAAGAAAUGCACUCGGUACUGGGUGACUAGAGGACCGGAGAGGAUAGUGGAAUUCCCAGUGUAGUGGUGAAAUACGUAGAGAUCGGCAGGAACGACCCAGGGGGAAACCAGCCGGACUGGCUGCGUUGCUGACACUGAGGUGCGACGAGCGAUCGGGGAGCGAACGGG
RNAcentral lists this ribosomal RNA (259 nucleotides) under uncultured bacterium. RNAcentral describes it as "partial 16S ribosomal RNA". It matches the Rfam family "Bacterial small subunit ribosomal RNA", at positions 524 to 776 of the family's 1533-position model. The record is from RNAcentral.